Podarcis raffonei (Aeolian wall lizard) is the source of this 6521-nucleotide long non-coding RNA. RefSeq lists it as uncharacterized. The transcript is spliced from 6 exons. NCBI's taxonomy places the organism in Eukaryota, Metazoa, Chordata, Lepidosauria, Squamata, Lacertidae. The record is from RefSeq and is a predicted model, not a curated record.
GGCCUUCACCUCUGGGGAGCAGGAGGACAAAGGGGUGGAAACGCCUGCAUGGGGCGGCAGCUGCAGUGAGGCACCAGCUUGUCCUUGUUUCCAUCUCCGUGCUCCUUGGAGAGGUGCACUGGGCAGUGCGCGCCACACUUGGCCAGCUCCUGCAGGCUCCUGGCUUCCGAGGUGCCCAGCUCCCACGAGCGUGCCAGCCCACUCUCCAAAACUUCCUGUCCAGCCCCCAACAGUGUCUGAGGGACAGUGAACUGGCCCCGUUUAAAAAGUUUGAGGACCCCUGGAUUAGAUGGUCCUUGGGGUCUUUUCCAACUCUACAAUUCUGUGAUUCUAAGUAAGUAGGUCAGCAUAAGGAGUGAGCUUACAGAGAUCAGUUUAUUUUUAAUCUGAUUUCUCUUUUUUAUUCUUAAUAAAAAUUCAUAUAAUUUGGCUGUUGGGUGCUGAAGUGUGGUUUUGCAAAACACUACGGUUCGGAUAAUAUCCCACAUACCUGGCCACUGGGCAUAUGCCGCUAGGGCAAAAAAGGAGGUUUCAUCGAGAAAAGAGCAGGCUGCGUGGAAUCCUAGGGUGGGAGAGGCAGCUGGAUGCCAGCCCUGUUGUCCUGAGUAAACUGAGAGGAAUCUGGCUAGGAAACACAGAGUGCAUUGUCUUGGGAGCCUGGGUUUUUAGUAUUUUACAGUUCUGUCUCAUCUGUGAGCUAUAAGUGUGAAAGGGAGUGGUUGUGGCAGUGAGUAGCUGGCCGGAGGCAGCUGGCCAACCCUACAGGGCAGUUUUGCAGCAGUUGCACAAGGAAGGGCAUAAGUAGGCUCUCCUAGCCUUUCCCCUUCCAUUAUAGAACAAAGGCUUGUUCUUGGUCUACAGCUUGAACCUGGGUUUGGACCUCCUGCUGAUCAAGCCAAACCAUGGCUCAGCACUGAGCAGCAGGAGAGCCUGGGGAGGAAGGCAGCAGCUGCAAUCUCCUCUCCUGCAACCCGCACAUUACGUGCAGUCUGGGUCUAUUAUAUUUUGCUUGGGAGGGAUGAGAAAGUUUUGAAUUUUUAUAUCUUAUUAAGUUUUUUUGUUUCAGCGAAGGUUGAUUACACUGACAGAGGAAUAAGAAUGUAUUUCUAUGCUGAUAGUUCCACCCUUGGGAACUCGAGCUCUUAAAUCAUCUGCUUAAAUAUGCAUGUGUGCAUUUCUCUUAUGUUUUUACCACAUGCAAAGGUUGGAAAAAUAAUCUGUGUCUUAAAUAAGAGGGGGGAAAUGGAACAAAAACAAACAGCAAGCAAAAGAGAAAAAAGAGAGGACAUGCACACAGUGAGAAGAAUGUCAAGAGUUAAUCCCUGGUGUAAUACACUGGAGGGUAAAUUCAUGUUGUCAGAGGAACAGUUCAUGCAAGAUUUAUGUGUCCCCCCCACCCUCCGGUGAACUUUAAGGUAAACCUCAGCCGGCGACUGCUGCAUUCCUCAUAAACCCCUAGCACAGCCCGCUGCUGCUUUUCCAAACUGCUUUCUCAUUAUUCAAUAGCACAUUUUUCCACAGCAUUCUGCUCUUGUUAAUACUUGCUUGCUGCAAUUUUUUUUUAAGUUCUGCAGUAAAAACACCUGUGUUUUAUUAAGACUCAAAAAUUGUGUUCCGCCUCCUUAUUUUGACUGCAGUGGCAUUAACCCUUUCAGAAGUAUGCUUUGGAGGGCUGCUGCUGAAUCCAAAAAGAAAGGCGCUUAAAAGAAGAAUGGGCCAUCAGAGAAAGUGACACAGGAAAGCAUGGUUUUGUGUGGGGCUGGGGUAACUAUGGCCUUGUGUAAUGCUUGCUGCCAUAUCACAAAGUGAAGCUUGGGUGAAUGAAGGAACCCAAAGGUGUGAUCUUGCAACAGAAGGAAAGGCAGGGAUGGGGCUAGCAAACUGCAGGUUGACUACGGCCUGGUUUGCACAUCAUGGCAAGUGAAAAUAUAGCUUACAACAGGUGUGCAGAGCCUUUGGCCCUCCAGAGGUUGCUGAACUACAAUUUCCAUCAUUCUUGGCCAUGGGCUAUGCUGGCUGGAGCUAAUGGGAGUUGAAGUUCAGCAACAGGGUCAAAGAUUCCUCGUUCCCUGCUUACCAGGCCUACUCAAAUGUGUGGAUUCCCAUAGAGGCCCCUAUAGCUGAUUUGUUUAUUUGUCUCUUUUUUUACUUGCACUGAAACUGGGACUCAUGUUUAAACUCUCAGCUCUCUGGGAGUCUGCAUGCUUGUGUAGUCCCAGUAGACCACCAUUUGGCUUACUGUGACAUGAGAACCAGCUCAGUGAAAGGAAAUCUGUGGUGAUGUGGGACAGGUGAGAAAGGAGGGCAAGGCCUCAGAGGCUGUGGAGUCAUUGCGACAUUUUAGUAAAAGUGAGCUCUGAGAGAAAGAAUGCAAAAGUGCUUAAGGCUGAUGACCUAAUCUUUGCCUUCUUAGUACAAAGAGUCAGAUGGGUGCAAGACAGAAAGACGUGAUCCUUGUGCUGUCAGAUCUGUUCAAAUCAAACAACCGCAUGCACCCAGAAUCAGGGAAAUACGCCUCCUGUAGCAGCAAACAGAAGCAGGAGAAAGUCUUGUGCAGAUGUAUCCCUACGGCUGGAGUGCAAGGAAUGUUGGCAAAAUGAAUUCUUCUUGAGAUAGGAUGAGUCCAGGACUCAAGGCAUGAAGGAGCCCCUACAAGAAUCGAAAACCUCUCACCUCCAGUUCCUUGACAGCUUAAUGGAUGUAGGUAACAGAAAGUUUUAAAAGCUUGUGAUUUUCCAGUUGGAGAUAUAAACUCCAGCAAGCAAAUUGCAGGUAGGGUGAAUUUCUUCUGUACCAGCACCUCCCUGCCUCGUGCCUCUCUCUACCCUCUCACCCCAGGCAUUCUUUGCUGCUCGUGUUUAUAUUUCAGAAACCAUAUGCCAAAAAGGAAUCCCCUUUCAGCAGUAAAUAGGUCCAGGAGAAACUAACUCAGCAAUAGUCAAGCAAGAGACUGGCUAUAUGAGUAUAACUUUUCUAUUUUUUAUGACACUAUUUAGGAUUAGGGAAAAUUAGAAAGAAAGGAAGUUCUUUUUUUCCAUUUCCCCACUUUUUGUUGAGCACAAUUGGCCAGGUGUGUUUCUCCUGGCAACUCUUUACUAGGCCUUUUGAAGGCCUAUGGGGAAAUGUUUCCUCAGUCCCACUUUGUAUAAAUACACAUUUAGGUAUUAGUGCUUCUUUAAUUUUUAUUGUUCAAGUUCUAUGGAACUCCUUGCUACAAUAAUUCAGAAUUCUGUGGUGACUUUUUUUUUUUUUUGCUGUGACCCAUUCCCUUAGAAUGCUUUUAAAACCUCCUAGUAGCUUAGUAUAAUAGGUUUAGGUGUGAGAUUGACUCCCACACUGGAGAAAGAAUGAACUAUUAGCUAAGAUGGUUCAUUAAAGGGAUAUUUUGUACAUUAAAAUACUGACGUUUACUAUAGGGUCUUGAUUAUUGUUUCUAAGAACUCAAUAGAUUUGGAUGCUGAAACCUGCCUAUCAGAGGCAUUUACUUCAGGUCCAAUUACCUAAAGCUCUAACCCAGCCAAAUUCACUCAAAACUCGGUCCAGUAACUGGAUACAAUCUGCUUCUGACACCAAAUUUCCUCCAGGUGUACUUAUGACUGCCUGGACAGUUUAGCUUUACACAUCGACAGCCUGUUAGUCUAAUACAGCCACUGGCUCCCUUCCUUUGAUACUGACCAGCAAAGUAUAGUUAUCACACUGGGCAGGACUAGCUUAGACCUCAGCUAUCCCACUUUGCCUCAGCUUUUACUGGUCUUAGCCAUCAUCAACUGACUUUCCCAACUGGCGUUCUUUCUCCACACUUGACAGUUAACUGUCCUUUUUUCACUGCCUAGGACUGCCAGCCAAUCAGAAUCUGUAGCUUCUUGAAGGAGAAAAGAAAAGCAGAAAUUUGCUUUCCACUCAGUAUCACAGAUGCCCUCUCUUCCCUGCCAUGUGUUCCUGAAACCUGGGACUGUUCCAAAUCUUAAACAUACUGGAAAGCAUAUCCUUAGGCCAGCUGUGAUCUGAUCAUGCUGUAAUGAAUGAGAGAAAACAAAAACCAACACAGAGCUGGGCAAACAAUAGGGCUCCUUGUUCUAGCCUGGAAGUGAUCUUCAUCCUCCAUACCCCUCUCUCCAUCAAAGCAUCCCGCAAAAAGCAAGAUUCUGAGAGGGUUAUGCAAUAUGCCCUGGGUGAUCCUUUCGUGACUAAAGUGGCCUGUGUUGUUUUGGAGCCAUCACAAAGGAUGCAAGAUCAAUAGGGCAAUUCUGUGCAUGUUUACUCAGAAGUCACCAAGUUCAGUAAGACUUACUUCCAAGUAAGUGUCUGCAAAGGGGCAUCGUCUCCGUAGAAAUGCAUAAGCUACCAUCUCCAAAUUUUCAGUAUUCGUAUAAAAGGAAAAGUCCUCUUUCUUAUGGAGAUGGAGAGGAGGGGCGAAGAUGUAGGAUUCUAUGUAACAAGACAGCUCUAAUAAGGAGGAGCGAGAAGAAUGGGACAUGUCAUAAAAACUGCUGAACCAGCUCCCUGAUUCCGCUCACACCUCAAGAAAAAAGGGGGAAAGUAUCUGUAGAUCCAGAGAAACUGACUGAAUCUGCCAUCAUGGACAAAAACAUACUCUUACCAGUGCUGAACUUUCUCCCCCAAAUGAAAAGGGCUGUAGCAUCUCCAACUUAGUUACCCAAAGCACUUUCUUUCUAUCUAAUUACAAUAAAAGAAAAAAUGACAAACUAUUAUGGCUUGUGAGUAGAUUCUGAAUGUAAAUUUGUCGUUUGGGAUUACCAGUGCUUCAACAAUUGGCCAACGUGCCUGCUAUAGGAAAGGAAAUAAUUAAUUGCUUCCCCUCCCUGUAAUCACUGCAGAAGGAAUAGAUCAACAUGGGGCGGGGGUGGAAUUACCCCCUAAUCACCAAGUACUGCACCCCAAAGGCCUUAGAAGAGGCUGUCACAUUUAAGCUAUGUGAAUUUAGGGAUCAUGGUGGACUAAUUUCCUAAUAAAAUAAACUCUUUGCCUAACAGUACCUGCAACUGAAAAGCGUAUUUAUCUCUAGCAUGGUAGCUAGAUGUUGGUAUUAGAUGUAGGAAACUCAAGGCUCAAAUCCCUCCUUAGCUAUGAAGGUUCUUAGCUAUGCCAAGGCAGUAGUUCACAGGAUAUGGCAUAAAAGCUUACAAACAGCACUGUAAGAUGACUGAUCCCUUGCACAAAAGAGGUACUGGAAUAGUACUCCCCAUAGCUGUCAACAUUUCCCUUUUUAAAAGGGAAAUUCCCUUAUUCCGAAUAGGAUUCCUCGCAAGAAAAGGGAAAAGGUGACAGCUAUGGUACUCCCCCCUCCCCAAUUAUUAAAGCAGCAAGGAGACUGCAUAAUAAUUGGUAAAUAAUAGUUUGGCUUUGCUCAGUGCUAUUUUUCCAGAAAAAGAGGAAGAUGGUAGUUCCCGCCAGUCCCAAUUUUAAAUUCUGGCCAAUCAAGCCAGGCCUUGGAGGUGGGGCUUGGCAGCAGACCGGAGUGGAGCAGGUUUCACUCUGGUCCGCUCUCUGGCCUUAAAAAGCCAGCUGCCCCUGACCUCAGGACUGUGAUCAACUGAAGAGCACCCCCUCCCAUCCCUCCCUCAUAUUCAUGCUUUGCGGCUUGUUCUAUAGUAACGGUUUCUCUUCUAGGCUAUGCCAUUAUGGCUUUGCUGUGGUUCUUUAAUUGUUUGCUGUGGUUCUCUUUGGAGCCAGGAUGGAAUUUACCGGCAAACAGAUUUGCCCCAUUUGCAGGUUUUGGCUUCCCCAUAGCAAUAGUCACAACUUUGGUGGGUCUGGGCAUUGGGGUGGAAUCCUUCGUCUUACAUUGGGGUGAAGUGGUGCCUCAUCCCCACCUCUGAACAGCUCAAUCACAGGGGUACCCCAUUGGAAGGGUCUAGUUGGAAGUCUCUGUCCAAAAUCCAAGGCGUGCGGCAGAUGGGUCAUAGAGCUUCUUUCAGUGACAAGGGAGGGCGAUCCGUAUAAUUCUGCAUCUUGUGAUGGACCCAGUAUCCCAUGAUCGACUCUCAUGCCUCAGCCCUCCACCAGUAGGCUGGGAGGAUCACACACCCAAUACUUAAGUCAAAUCUUACCUACAUCUGGAAUUGUGGCCAAUUUCAAAUCCCAAAACGUUUCCUUGUCCAGUUUGUUCACCUUAGACUAGGUCUUGCUCCCGGGGAAGGGGUCACUGUAAGUGGGACCACAAUUGAAUCCUCAUCUGUUAUACUGGCACUAGGAAAGUGAGUAGCAAAGUCUUGCAGCAUUUUGUCUUAACAUGUAAGUCAAUUUCUUAAUGCCUUCAGAAAAUGCUUCUAUUUGCCUCAUGGUAACUUCUGAAUCCUCCAUCUGUUUCAGUCUGUCUAGAUCAUCACCAUCAUAUACUCUGAUAUCUAAACCAGGCUUAAACCAUUUCUUUGAUCCAAUUCCAGGUGCCUGUCCCAAAUCCAUCAAACAUGCAUACACUUCCCCAUCUUCCUGCUUCUUCUUCCUUAAAUUUCCACAGCUACUAAAAGCAACUUUCUUUUCUUCAAUUUAGCUGUACA